Molecule: ribosomal RNA, 1099 nt
Filed under: human gut metagenome
Description: bacterial SSU rRNA
Rfam family: Bacterial small subunit ribosomal RNA
Source: RNAcentral
AUGGCGACCGGCGCACGGGUGAGUAACGCGUAUCCAACCUGCCCUUUACUCCGGGAUAGUCUCCUGAAAGGGAGUUUAAUACCGGAUGUGUUUGUCUUUCCGCAUGGGAGCGACAAAUAAAGAUUAAUUGGUAAAGGAUGGGGAUGCGUCCCAUUAGCUUGUUGGCGGGGUAACGGCCCACCAAGGCGACGAUGGGUAGGGGUUCUGAGAGGAAGGUCCCCCACAUUGGAACUGAGACACGGUCCAAACUCCUACGGGAGGCAGCAGUGAGGAAUAUUGGUCAAUGGGCGGGAGCCUGAACCAGCCAAGUAGCGUGAAGGACGACGGCCCUACGGGUUGUAAACUUCUUUUAUAAGGGAAUAAAGUUCGCCACGUGUGGUGUUUUGUAUGUACCUUAUGAAUAAGCAUCGGCUAAUUCCGUGCCAGCAGCCGCGGUAAUACGGAAGAUGCGAGCGUUAUCCGGAUUUAUUGGGUUUAAAGGGAGCGUAGGCGGGCUUUUAAGUCAGCGGUCAAAUGUCGUGGCUCAACCAUGUCAAGCCGUUGAAACUGUAAGCCUUGAGUCUGCACAGGGCACAUGGAAUUCGUGGUGUAGCGGUGAAAUGCUUAGAUAUCACGAAGAACUCCGAUCGCGAAGGCAUUGUGCCGGGGCAUAACUGACGCUGAGGCUCGAAAGUGCGGGUAUCAAACAGGAUUAGAUACCCUGGUAGUCCGCACGGUAAACGAUGAAUGCUCGCUAUGGGCGAUAUAUUGUCCGUGGCCAAGCGAAAGCGUUAAGCAUUCCACCUGGGGAGUACGCCGGCAACGGUGAAACUCAAAGGAAUUGACGGGGGCCCGCACAAGCGGAGGAACAUGUGGUUUAAUUCGAUGAUACGCGAGGAACCUUACCCGGGCUUAAAUGGGAAAUGUCGUAUUUGGAAACAGAUAUUCUCUUCGGAGCGUUUGUCAAGGUGCUGCAUGGUUGUCGUCAGCUCGUGCCGUGAGGUGUCGGCUUAAGUGCCAUAACGAGCGCAACCCUUCUCCCCAGUUGCCAUCGGGUAAUGCCGGGCCCUCUGGGGACACUGCCAUCGUAAGAUGCGAGGAAGGUGGGGAUGACGUCAAA